ACGGAAGGUCCAGGCGUUAUCCGGAUUUAUUGGGUUUAAAGGGAGCGUAGGCUGGAGAUUAAGUGUGUUGUGAAAUGUAAACGCUCAACGUCUGAAUUGCAGCGCGUACUGGUUUACUUGAGUACGCACAACGUUGGCGGAAUGCAUAGUGUAGCGGUGAAAUGCUCAGAUAUGACGAAGAACGCCGAUUGCGAAGGCGGCUGACGGGAGCGCAACUGACGCUUAAGCGCGAAGGUGCGGGUAUCGACCAG
Molecule: ribosomal RNA, 251 nt
Filed under: uncultured prokaryote
Description: partial 16S rRNA
Rfam family: Bacterial small subunit ribosomal RNA
Source: RNAcentral